Molecule: non-coding RNA, 349 nt
Organism: Rattus norvegicus (Norway rat)
Lineage: Eukaryota; Metazoa; Chordata; Mammalia; Rodentia; Muridae
Source: RefSeq, a predicted model, not a curated record
GGAGGGAAUAUAUUUACUAUACUUAAGACAGACUAUGACAGAUAUGUCAUGUUUCAUCUCGUUAAUGUCAACAAUGGGGAAGCCUUCCAGCUGAUGGAGCUCUAUGGAAGAACAAAGGAUCUGAGUUCAGACAUCAAGGAAAAGUUUGCAAAACUAUGUGAGGCGCAUGGAAUCACUAGGGACAAUAUCAUUGACCUAACCAAGACUGAUCGCUGUCUCCAGGCCCGAGGAUGAAGACAGGCCUGAGCCUCCAGGUGGGCAAUCUCCAGUGAGAGCAAGGGGUGGGUGGGCAUGGACCAGGCCCUUCCAAAAGCAUUAGUAUGGUGCCCCCAAAUUAUUAUAAGAAUAA